RNAcentral lists this ribosomal RNA (1440 nucleotides) under uncultured organism. RNAcentral describes it as "16S ribosomal RNA". It matches the Rfam family "Bacterial small subunit ribosomal RNA". The record is from RNAcentral.
CAGGCUUAACACAUGCAAGUCGAGGGGCAGCAUUUCAGUUUGCUUGCAAACUGGAGAUGGCGACCGGCGCACGGGUGAGUAACACGUAUCCAACCUGCCGAUAACUCGGGGAUAGCCUUUCGAAAGAAAGAUUAAUACCCGAUGGUAUAAUCAGACCGCAUGGUCUUGUUAUUAAAGAAUUUCGGUUAUCGAUGGGGAUGCGUUCCAUUAGGCAGUUGGUGAGGUAACGGCUCACCAAACCUUCGAUGGAUAGGGGUUCUGAGAGGAAGGUCCCCCACAUUGGAACUGAGACACGGUCCAAACUCCUACGGGAGGCAGCAGUGAGGAAUAUUGGUCAAUGGGCGCAGGCCUGAGCCAGCCAAGUAGCGUGAAGGAUGACUGCCCUAUGGGUUGUAAACUUCUUUUAUAUGGGAAUAAAGUUUUCCACGUGUGGAAUUUUGUAUGUACCAUAUGAAUAAGGAUCGGCUAACUCCGUGCCAGCAGCCGCGGUAAUACGGAGGAUCCGAGCGUUAUCCGGAUUUAUUGGGUUUAAAGGGAGCGUAGGUGGACAGUUAAGUCAGUUGUGAAAGUUUGCGGCUCAACCGUAAAAUUGCAGUUGAUACUGGCUGUCUUGAGUACAGUAGAGGUGGGCGGAAUUCGUGGUGUAGCGGUGAAAUGCUUAGAUAUCACGAAGAACUCCGAUUGCGAGGGGCAGCUCACUGGACUGCAACUGACACUGAUGCUCGAAAGUGUGGGUAUCAAACAGGAUUAGAUACCCUGGUAGUCCACACAGUAAACGAUGAAUACUCGCUGUUUGCGAUAUACAGUAAGCGGCCAAGCGAAAGCAUUAAGUAUUCCACCUGGGGAGUACGCCGGCAACGGUGAAACUCAAAGGAAUUGACGGGGGCCCGCACAAGCGGAGGAACAUGUGGUUUAAUUCGAUGAUACGCGAGGAACCUUACCCGGGCUUAAAUUGCAUUUGAAUAUAUUGGAAACAGUAUAGCCGUAAGGCAAAUGUGAAGGUGCUGCAUGGUUGUCGUCAGCUCGUGCCGUGAGGUGUCGGCUUAAGUGCCAUAACGAGCGCAACCCUUAUCUUUAGUUACUAACAGGUCAUGCUGAGGACUCUAGAGAGACUGCCGUCGUAAGAUGUGAGGAAGGUGGGGAUGACGUCAAAUCAGCACGGCCCUUACGUCCGGGGCUACACACGUGUUACAAUGGGGGGUACAGAAGGCAGCUACCUGGUGACAGGAUGCUAAUCCCAAAAGCCUCUCUCAGUUCGGAUCGAAGUCUGCAACCCGACUUCGUGAAGCUGGAUUCGCUAGUAAUCGCGCAUCAGCCAUGGCGCGGUGAAUACGUUCCCGGGCCUUGUACACACCGCCCGUCAAGCCAUGAAAGCCGGGGGUACCUGAAGUACGUAACCGCAAGGAGCGUCCUAGGGUAAAACUGGUAAUUGGGGCUAAG